CUCCACAGCCGCCAAGCUGACGCGGGAGGUCGCCGCCGGGAGGGGCUCUAGGCGGACAUGGGAGGGGCGCCACCGUGCCAUGGGAGGUCACCGCCGGGAGGGGUGCCAUAGGCACCACGGGAGGUCCGCGCGGGAGGUCAGGUCGCCGCUGGGAGGGGCGCCACGGGAGGUCGUCGCCGGCGGCUCCACCCUCUAGCCGUUGUCGCCUCGCCUCCUACCCGUCUGCGCGAGCUCCCCUCCGGCCGGUCAUCAACGUCUCCAACCGCGCCUCCCUCCAGUCGCGCCUCCCACCUCCGGUCGCCACUGCCUCCUCUGUGCCGAGCCGCCGAGCUCCCCUCCGGCCGGCAACGUCCUCCCCUGCGCUGAGCAAGUGAUUUGAACCAAUGGCUACUUCGGCCAGUAGCAGCCAGUGUGCUACUCCACCGGUCAGCAGCAACCGGCGUGAGCAAGCCUCACAGGCUUCUGUAGAUGCAUCCCCAACUGCAAAACAAGCUGAAUAGGAAGAAGAGGAAACUUGUGUAAUUGAAGUUUGUUGAUUGUGUAAUUGUGCUAAAGUAUGACAUUUGAAGUUGUCUUAUUGUUGAACUUAUAAUGUUUGUAUU
RNAcentral lists this small RNA (602 nucleotides) under Oryza sativa Japonica Group (Japanese rice). Its description in RNAcentral is "sRNA Os05g0364300". Lineage: Eukaryota; Viridiplantae; Streptophyta; Magnoliopsida; Poales; Poaceae. The record is from RNAcentral.